ACGGGUGAGUAACACGUGGACAAUCUGCCCCCGGCCGGGAUAGCCCAGGGAAACCUGGAUUAAUACCGGAUGAGACGGGACCCGCGAAGGCGGGACCCGGGAAAGGCGCUGCGGCGCCGGCGGGGGAUGAGUCUGCGUCCCAUUAGCUAGACGCGGGGUAACGGCCCACCGUGGCGACGAUGGGUAGCCGGCCUGAGAGGGUGGACGGCCACAUUGGAACUGAGACACGGUCCAGACUCCUACGGGAGGCAGCAGCUAAGAAUCUUCCGCAAUGGGCGAAAGCCUGACGGAGCGAACCGCCGCGUGAACGAAGAAGGCCGUGAGGUUGUAAAGUUCUUUUCGGGAGGGGGAACAACCGUGGCAGGGAAUGGCCGCGGGAUGACGUGAAUCCCGGAAUAAGCCCCGGCUAACUACGUGCCAGCCGCCGC
RNAcentral lists this ribosomal RNA (428 nucleotides) under uncultured bacterium. RNAcentral describes it as "bacterial SSU rRNA". It matches the Rfam family "Bacterial small subunit ribosomal RNA", at positions 102 to 518 of the family's 1533-position model. The record is from RNAcentral.